GGGCACAUAGCUCAGUUGGUUAGAGCUCCGAGCUUAUAUCUCGGCGGUCUCAGGUUCAAAUCCUGAUGUGCCCA
This 74-nucleotide transfer RNA is filed under the name Candidatus Kerfeldbacteria bacterium RIFOXYA2_FULL_38_24. RNAcentral describes it as "tRNA-Ile". It matches the Rfam family "tRNA". From Rfam's summary of the family: Transfer RNA (tRNA) molecules are approximately 80 nucleotides in length. Their secondary structure includes four short double-helical elements and three loops (D, anti-codon, and T loops). The record is from RNAcentral. RNAcentral also lists the same sequence under 2 other names. Lineage: Bacteria; Candidatus Kerfeldiibacteriota.